RNAcentral lists this ribosomal RNA (1320 nucleotides) under Staphylococcus aureus. RNAcentral's name for it is "bacterial SSU rRNA". It matches the Rfam family "Bacterial small subunit ribosomal RNA", at positions 54 to 1355 of the family's 1533-position model. The record is from RNAcentral. Lineage: Bacteria; Bacillati; Bacillota; Bacilli; Caryophanales; Staphylococcaceae.
CAUGCAAGUCGAGCGAACGGACGAGAAGCUUGCUUCUCUGAUGUUAGCGGCGGACGGGUGAGUAACACGUGGAUAACCUACCUAUAAGACUGGGAUAACUUCGGGAAACCGGAGCUAAUACCGGAUAAUAUUUUGAACCGCAUGGUUCAAAAGUGAAAGACGGUCUUGCUGUCACUUAUAGAUGGAUCCGCGCUGCAUUAGCUAGUUGGUAAGGUAACGGCUUACCAAGGCAACGAUGCAUAGCCGACCUGAGAGGGUGAUCGGCCACACUGGAACUGAGACACGGUCCAGACUCCUACGGGAGGCAGCAGUAGGGAAUCUUCCGCAAUGGGCGAAAGCCUGACGGAGCAACGCCGCGUGAGUGAUGAAGGUCUUCGGAUCGUAAAACUCUGUUAUUAGGGAAGAACAUAUGUGUAAGUAACUGUGCACAUCUUGACGGUACCUAAUCAGAAAGCCACGGCUAACUACGUGCCAGCAGCCGCGGUAAUACGUAGGUGGCAAGCGUUAUCCGGAAUUAUUGGGCGUAAAGCGCGCGUAGGCGGUUUUUUAAGUCUGAUGUGAAAGCCCACGGCUCAACCGUGGAGGGUCAUUGGAAACUGGAAAACUUGAGUGCAGAAGAGGAAAGUGGAAUUCCAUGUGUAGCGGUGAAAUGCGCAGAGAUAUGGAGGAACACCAGUGGCGAAGGCGACUUUCUGGUCUGUAACUGACGCUGAUGUGCGAAAGCGUGGGGAUCAAACAGGAUUAGAUACCCUGGUAGUCCACGCCGUAAACGAUGAGUGCUAAGUGUUAGGGGGUUUCCGCCCCUUAGUGCUGCAGCUAACGCAUUAAGCACUCCGCCUGGGGAGUACGACCGCAAGGUUGAAACUCAAAGGAAUUGACGGGGACCCGCACAAGCGGUGGAGCAUGUGGUUUAAUUCGAAGCAACGCGAAGAACCUUACCAAAUCUUGACAUCCUUUGACAACUCUAGAGAUAGAGCCUUCCCCUUCGGGGGACAAAGUGACAGGUGGUGCAUGGUUGUCGUCAGCUCGUGUCGUGAGAUGUUGGGUUAAGUCCCGCAACGAGCGCAACCCUUAAGCUUAGUUGCCAUCAUUAAGUUGGGCACUCUAAGUUGACUGCCGGUGACAAACCGGAGGAAGGUGGGGAUGACGUCAAAUCAUCAUGCCCCUUAUGAUUUGGGCUACACACGUGCUACAAUGGACAAUACAAAGGGCAGCGAAACCGCGAGGUCAAGCAAAUCCCAUAAAGUUGUUCUCAGUUCGGAUUGUAGUCUGCAACUCGACUACAUGAAGCUGGAAUCGCUAGUAAUCGUAGAUCAGCAU